UUAGAGUUUGAUCCUGGCUCAGGAUGAACGCUAGCGGCAGGCUUAACACAUGCAAGUCGAGGGGCAGCGAGAUCAGUGCUUGCACUGAUUGUCGGCGACCGGCGCACGGGUGCGUAACGCGUAUGCAACCUACCCAUUACAGGGGGAUAACACUGAGAAAUCGGUACUAAUACCCCAUAACAUCCAGGGAGGCAUCUUCUUGGGUUGAAAACUCCGGUGGUAAUGGAUGGGCAUGCGUUGUAUUAGUUAGUUGGUGGGGUAACGGCUCACCAAGACAACGAUACAUAGGGGGACUGAGAGGUUAACCCCCCACAUUGGUACUGAGACACGGACCAAACUCCUACGGGAGGCAGCAGUGAGGAAUAUUGGUCAAUGGACGCAAGUCUGAACCAGCCAUGCCGCGUGCAGGAAGACGGCUCUAUGAGUUGUAAACUGCUUUUGUACGAGGGUAAACGCAGAUACGCGUAUCUGUCUGAAAGUAUCGUACGAAUAAGGAUCGGCUAACUCCGUGCCAGCAGCCGCGGUAAUACGGAGGAUUCAAGCGUUAUCCGGAUUUAUUGGGUUUAAAGGGUGCGUAGGCGGUCGGAUAAGUUAGAGGUGAAAUCCCGGGGCUCAACUUCGGAAUUGCCUCUGAUACUGUUCGGCUAGAGAGUAGUUGCGGUAGGCGGAAUGUAUGGUGUAGCGGUGAAAUGCUUAGAGAUCAUACAGAACACCGAUUGCGAAGGCAGCUUACCAAGCUACUUCUGACGUUGAGGCACGAAAGCGUGGGGAGCAAACAGGAUUAGAUACCCUGGUAGUCCACGCAGUAAACGAAGAUAACUGGUAGUGGGAGAAACAAGUGUCGGUGACUAAGCGAAUAGCGAUAAGUUAUCCACCUGGGGAGUACGUUCGCAAGAAUGAAACUCAAAGGAAUUGACGGGGGCCCGCACAAGCGGAGGAACAUGUGGUUUAAUUCGAUGAUACGCGAGGAACCUUACCCGGGCUUUAAAGUUAGUGACGGAUCUUGAAAGAGGUCUUCCCUUCGGGGCACGAAACUAGGUGCUGCAUGGUUGUCGUCAGCUCGUGCCGUGAGGUGUCGGGUUAAGUCCCAUAACGAGCGCAACCCCUACCGUUAGUUGCCAGCAGGUCAAGCUGGGCACUCUGACGGGACUGCCGGUGUAAGCCGAGAGGAAGGUGGGGAUGACGUCAAAUCAGCACGGCCCUUACGUCCGGGGCUACACACGUGUUACAAUGGCAGGUACAGAGGGCAGCUACCCAGCGAUGGGAUGCGAAUCUCGAAAGCCUGUCUCAGUUCGGAUUGGAGGCUGAAACCCGCCUCCAUGAAGUUGGAUUCGCUAGUAAUCGCGCAUCAGCCAUGGCGCGGUGAAUACGUUCCCGGGCCUUGCACUCACCGCCCGUCA
RNAcentral lists this ribosomal RNA (1400 nucleotides) under uncultured bacterium. Its description in RNAcentral is "16S ribosomal RNA". It matches the Rfam family "Bacterial small subunit ribosomal RNA". The record is from RNAcentral.